UCCUUCGGGAACAAAUCUAGCGGCGGACGGGUGAGUAACACGUGGGCAACCUGCCUUGUAGAGGGGAAUAGCCUUCCGAAAGGAAGAUUAAUACCGCAUAACAUUACAUUUUCGCAUGAAGAAGUAAUUAAAGGAGCAAUCCGCUACAAGAUGGGCCCGCGGCGCAUUAGCUAGUUGGUGAGGUAACGGCUCACCAAGGCGACGAUGCGUAGCCGACCUGAGAGGGUGGUCGGCCACAUUGGGACUGAGACACGGCCCAGACUCCUACGGGAGGCAGCAGUGGGGAAUAUUGCACAAUGGGGGAAACCCUGAUGCAGCAACGCCGCGUGAGUGAUGAAGGUUUUCGGAUCGUAAAGCUCUGUCUUCAGGGACGAUAAUGACGGUACCUGAGGAGGAAGCCACGGCUAACUACGUGCCAGCAGCCGCGGUAAUACGUAGGUGGCGAGCGUUGUCCGGAUUUACUGGGCGUAAAGGGAGCGUAGGCGGAUUUUUAAGUGAGAUGUGAAAUACCCGGGCUCAACUUGGGUGCUGCAUUUCAAACUGGAAGUCUAGAGUGCAGGAGAGGAGAGUGGAAUUCCUAGUGUAGCGGUGAAAUGCGUAGAGAUUAGGAAGAACACCA
This 619-nucleotide ribosomal RNA is filed under the name uncultured Clostridium sp. RNAcentral's name for it is "bacterial SSU rRNA". It matches the Rfam family "Bacterial small subunit ribosomal RNA", at positions 76 to 711 of the family's 1533-position model. The record is from RNAcentral. Lineage: Bacteria; Bacillati; Bacillota; Clostridia; Eubacteriales; Clostridiaceae.